Molecule: ribosomal RNA, 301 nt
Filed under: uncultured bacterium
Lineage: Bacteria
Description: partial 16S ribosomal RNA
Rfam family: Bacterial small subunit ribosomal RNA
Source: RNAcentral
CAGCCGCCGCGGGAAUACGUAGGGUGCGAGCGUUAAUCGGAGUUACUGGGCGUAAAGCGUGCGCAGGCGGUUCGUUAAGACAGAUGUGAAAUCCCCGGGCUUAACCUGGGAACUGCAUUUGUGACUGGCAAGCUAGAGUAUGGCAGAGGGGGGUGGAAUUCCGCGUGUAGCAGUGAAAUGCGUAGAUAUGCGGAGGAACACCGAUGGCGAAGGCAGCCCCCUGGGCCAAUACUGACGCUCAUGCACGAAAGCGUGGGGAGCAAACAGGAUUAGAUACCCCCGUAGUCCCUGUCUCUUAUAC